UACGUAGGGGGCUAGCGUUGUCCGGAAUCAUUGGGCGUAAAGCGCUCGUAGGCGGCCCGGUAAGUCCGCUGUAAAAGUCAAAGGCUCAACCUUUGAAUGUCAGUGGAUACUGCCGGGCUAGAGUCCGGAAGAGGCGAGUGGAACUCCUGGUGUAGCGGUGGAAUGCGCAGAUAUCAGGAAGAACACCGACGGCGAAGGCAGCUCGCUGGGACGGUACUGACGCUGAGGCGCGAAAGCGUGGGGAGCGAACAGG
This 253-nucleotide ribosomal RNA is filed under the name uncultured bacterium. Its description in RNAcentral is "partial 16S ribosomal RNA". It matches the Rfam family "Bacterial small subunit ribosomal RNA", at positions 524 to 776 of the family's 1533-position model. The record is from RNAcentral.